Molecule: microRNA, 21 nt
Filed under: Mus musculus (house mouse)
Lineage: Eukaryota; Metazoa; Chordata; Mammalia; Rodentia; Muridae
Description: Mmu-Mir-3101-v2_3p (mature (guide))
Source: RNAcentral
AGCUUUGGUGGAUGGUCUUUG